RNAcentral lists this ribosomal RNA (497 nucleotides) under uncultured bacterium. Its description in RNAcentral is "partial 16S ribosomal RNA". It matches the Rfam family "Bacterial small subunit ribosomal RNA", at positions 28 to 507 of the family's 1533-position model. The record is from RNAcentral.
GAUGAACGCUGGCGGCGUGCCUAAUACAUGCAAGUCGAGCGAACGGACGAGAAGCUUGCUCCUCUACGGUUAGCGGCGGACGGGUGAGUAACACGUGGAUAACCUACCUAUAAUACUGGGAUAACUUCGGGAAACCAGUGCUAAUACCGCAUAAUAUUUUGAACCGCAUGGUUCAAGAGUGAAAGACGCUCUUGCUGUCACUAAUAGAUGGAUCCGCGUUGCAUUAGCUAGUUGGUAAGGUAACGGCUCACCAAGGCAACGAUGCGUAGCCGACCUGAGAGGGUGAUCAGCCACACUGGAACUGAGACACGGUCCAGACUCCUACGGGAGGCAGCAGUAGGGAAUCUUCCGCAAUGGGCGAAAGCCUGACGGAGCAACGCCGCGUGAGUGAUGAAGGUCUUCGGAUCGUAAAACUCUGUUAUUAGGAAAGAACAUAUGUGUAAGUAACUGUGCACAUCUUGACGGUACCUAAUCAGAAAGCCACGGCUAACUACGUG